GGAUGAACGCUGGCGGCGUGCCUACUCCAUGCAAGUCGAGCGAACAGACGAGGAGCUUGCUCCUCUGACGUUAGCGGCGGACGGGUGAGUAACACGUGGAUAACCUACCUAUAAGACUGGGAUAACUUCGGGAAACCGGAGCUAAUACCGGAUAAUAUAUUUAACCGCAUGGUUCAAUAGUGAAAGACGGUUUUGCUGUCACUUAUAGAUGGAUCCGCGCCGCAUUAGCUAGUUGGUAAGGUAACGGCUUACCAAGGCAACGAUGCGUAGCCGACCUGAGAGGGUGAUCGGCCACACUGGAACUGAGAAACGGUCCAGACUCCUACGGGAGGCAGCAGUAGGGAAUCUUCCGCAAUGGGCGAAAGCCUGACGGAGCAACGCCGCGUGAGUGAUGAAGGUCUUCGGAUCGUAAAACUCUGUUAUUAGGGAAGAACAAAUGUGUAAGUAACUAUGCACGUCUUGACGGUACCUAAUCAGAAAGCCACGGCUAACUACGUG
RNAcentral lists this ribosomal RNA (498 nucleotides) under uncultured bacterium. RNAcentral describes it as "partial 16S ribosomal RNA". It matches the Rfam family "Bacterial small subunit ribosomal RNA", at positions 27 to 507 of the family's 1533-position model. The record is from RNAcentral.